ACUCCUACGGGAGGCAGCAGUCGAGAAUCUUCCGCAAUGGGCGCAAGCCUGACGGAGCGACGCCGCGUGGAGGACGAAGGCCUUCGGGUUGUAAACUCCUGUCACGAGUUAAGAAGGGCAUGCAGCGAACAGCUGUAGGCUUUGACGUAAGCUCGAGAGGAAGCACUGGCUAACUCUGUGCCAGCAGCCGCGGUAAUACAGAGAGUGCAAACGUUGUUCGGAAUUACUGGGCUUGAAGCGCACGUAGGCGGCGUUGUAAGUGUCGGGUGAAAUCCCACGGCUCACCCGUGGAACUGCCCGGCAUACUGCGAUGCUAGAGUGUGGUAGGGGAGAGCGGAACUCCUA
Molecule: ribosomal RNA, 345 nt
Filed under: uncultured Planctomycetota bacterium
Lineage: Bacteria; Pseudomonadati; Planctomycetota
Description: bacterial SSU rRNA
Rfam family: Bacterial small subunit ribosomal RNA
Source: RNAcentral